RNAcentral lists this ribosomal RNA (393 nucleotides) under uncultured bacterium. Its description in RNAcentral is "partial 16S ribosomal RNA". It matches the Rfam family "Bacterial small subunit ribosomal RNA", at positions 523 to 918 of the family's 1533-position model. The record is from RNAcentral.
AUACGGAGGAUGCAAGCGUUAUCCGGAUUUAUUGGGUUUAAAGGGUGCGUAGGCGGGACUGUAAGUCAGGGGUGAAAUACUGCAGCUUAACUGUAGCAUUGCCUUUGAAACUGCCGUUCUUGAGUACAGUUGAGGUAGGCGGAAUGUGGUGUGUAGCGGUGAAAUGCAUAGAUAUACCACAGAACGCCGAUUGCGAAGGCAGCUUACGAAGCUGUUACUUACGCUGAGGCACGAAAGCGUGGGGAUCAAACAGGAUUAGAUACCCUGGUAGUCCACGCUGUAAACGAUGAUUACUGGUUGUUAGCGAUAUAUAGCUAGUGACUGAGCGAAAGCAUUAAGUAAUCCACCUGGGGAGUACGUCGGCAACGAUGAAACUCAAAUGAAUUGACGGGG